GCGCCCGUAGCUCAGCUGGAUAGAGCACCAGGCUUCGACCCUGGGUGUCGGCAGUUCGAAUCUGUCCGGGCGCA
RNAcentral lists this transfer RNA (74 nucleotides) under Desulfuromonas soudanensis. It matches the Rfam family "tRNA". From Rfam's summary of the family: Transfer RNA (tRNA) molecules are approximately 80 nucleotides in length. Their secondary structure includes four short double-helical elements and three loops (D, anti-codon, and T loops). Further hydrogen bonds mediate the characteristic L-shaped molecular structure. tRNAs have two regions of fundamental functional importance: the anti-codon, which is responsible for specific mRNA codon recognition, and the 3' end, to which the tRNAs corresponding amino acid is attached (by aminoacyl-tRNA synthetases). tRNAs cope with the degeneracy of the genetic code in two manners: having more than one tRNA (with a specific anti-codon) for a particular amino acid; and 'wobble' base-pairing, i.e. permitting non-standard base-pairing at the 3rd anti-codon position. Lineage: Bacteria; Pseudomonadati; Thermodesulfobacteriota; Desulfuromonadia; Desulfuromonadales; Desulfuromonadaceae. The record is from Rfam by way of RNAcentral.